UGGGGAAUUUUGGACAAUGGGCGAAAGCCUGAUCCAGCAAUGCCGCGUGUGUGAAGAAGGCCUUCGGGUUGUAAAGCACUUUUGUCCGGAAAGAAAUCCUUGGCUCUAAUACAGUCGGGGGAUGACGGUACCGGAAGAAUAAGCACCGGCUAACUACGUGCCAGCAGCCGCGGUAAUACGUAGGGUGCAAGCGUUAAUCGGAAUUACUGGGCGUAAAGCGUGCGCAGGCGGUUUGCUAAGACCGAUGUGAAAUCCCCGGGCUCAACCUGGGAACUGCAUUGGUGACUGGCAGGCUAGAGUAUGGCAGAGGGGGGUAGAAUUCCACGUGUAGCAGUGAAAUGCGUAGAGAUGUGGAGGAAUACCGAUGGCGAAGGCAGCCCCCUGGGCCAAUACUGACGCUCAUGCACGAAAGCGUGGGGAGCAAACAGGAUUAGAUACCCUGGUAGUCCACGCCCUAAAACGAUGUCAACUAGUUGUUGGGGAUUCAUUUCCUUAGUAACGUAGCUAACGCGUGAAGUUGACCGCCUGGGGAGUACGGUCGCAGGAUUAAAACUCAAAGGAAUUGACGGGGUCAUAGCUGUUUCCU
RNAcentral lists this ribosomal RNA (586 nucleotides) under uncultured bacterium. RNAcentral's name for it is "partial 16S ribosomal RNA". It matches the Rfam family "Bacterial small subunit ribosomal RNA", at positions 355 to 1375 of the family's 1533-position model. The record is from RNAcentral.